GACGAACGCUGGCGGCGUGCUUAACACAUGCAAGUCGAGCGGUAAGGCCCUUUCGGGGGUACACGAGCGGCGAACGGGUGAGUAACACGUGGGUGACCUGCCCUCAGCUCUGGGAUAAGCCCGGGAAACUGGGUCUAAUACCGGAUAUGACUCCAUGACGCAUGUUGUUGGGUGGAAAGCCUUGUGCGGCUGAGGAUGGGCCCGCGGCCUAUCAGCUUGUUGGUGGGGUGAUGGCCACCAAGGCGACGACGGGUAGCCGGCCUGAGAGGGCGACCGGCCACACUGGGACUGAGAUACGGCCCAGACUCCUACGGGAGGCAGCAGUGGGGAAUCUUGCGCAAUGGGCGAAAGCCUGACGCAGCGACGCCGCGUGAGGAUGAC
RNAcentral lists this ribosomal RNA (381 nucleotides) under uncultured bacterium. RNAcentral's name for it is "bacterial SSU rRNA". It matches the Rfam family "Bacterial small subunit ribosomal RNA", at positions 28 to 412 of the family's 1533-position model. The record is from RNAcentral.